Molecule: transfer RNA, 72 nt
Filed under: Camelus bactrianus (Bactrian camel)
Lineage: Eukaryota; Metazoa; Chordata; Mammalia; Artiodactyla; Camelidae
Also listed under: 2 other names
Rfam family: tRNA
About the family: Transfer RNA (tRNA) molecules are approximately 80 nucleotides in length.
Source: Rfam by way of RNAcentral
GAGGGUGUAGCUCAGUGGUAGAGCAGCUGCUCAGCAUGCACGAGGUCCUGGGUUCAAUCCCCAGUAACUCCA